CUAGUGUAGCGGUGAAAUGCGUAGAUAUUAGGAGGAACACCAGUGGCGAAGGCGGCUUACUGGACAGUAACUGACGUUGAGGCUCGAAAGCGUGGAGAGCAAACAGGAUUAGAUACCCUGGUAGUCCACGCCGUAAACGAUGACUGCUAGGUGUCGGAGAGCAAAGCUCUUCGGUGCCGCAGCUAACGCAAUAAGCAGUCCACCUGGGGAGUACGUUCGCAAGAAUGAAACUCAAAGGAAUUGACGGGGACCCGCACAAGCGGUGAAGCAUGUGGUUUAAUUCGAAGCAACGCGAAGAACCUUACCUGGUCUUGACAUCCCGGUGACCGCAGAGUAAUGUCUGCUUUCCUUCGGGACACUGGAGACAGGUGGUGCAUGGUUGUCGUCAGCUCGUGUCGUGAGAUGUUGGGUUAAGUCCCGCAACGAGCGCAACCCCUAUCUUUAGUAGCCAGCAUUUAAGGUGGGCACUCUAGAGAGACUGCCAGGGAUAACUUGGAGGAAGGUGGGGAUGACGUCAAAUCAUCAUGCCCCUUAUGACCAGGGCUACACACGUGCUACAAUGGCGUAAACAAAGGGAAGCGAGACCGCGAGGUGGAGCAAAUACCAAAAAUAACGUCUCAGUUCGGAUUGUAGUCUGCAACUCGACUACAUGAAGCUGGAAUCGCUAGUAAUCGCGAAUCAGAAUGUCGCGGUGAAUACGUUCCCGGGUCUUGUACACACCGCCCGUCACACCAUGGGAGUCAGUAACGCCCGAAGUCAGUGACCCAACCGUAAGGAGGGAGCUGCCGAAGGUGGGACCGAUAACUGGGGUGAAGUCGUAACAAAGGUAGCCGUAAAGCC
This 840-nucleotide ribosomal RNA is filed under the name uncultured bacterium. RNAcentral's name for it is "bacterial SSU rRNA". It matches the Rfam family "Bacterial small subunit ribosomal RNA", at positions 670 to 1509 of the family's 1533-position model. The record is from RNAcentral.